RNAcentral lists this ribosomal RNA (499 nucleotides) under uncultured bacterium. RNAcentral describes it as "partial 16S ribosomal RNA". It matches the Rfam family "Bacterial small subunit ribosomal RNA", at positions 29 to 523 of the family's 1533-position model. The record is from RNAcentral.
AUUGAACGCUGGCGGCAUGCCUUACACAUGCAAGUCGAACGACGCCAGGGGGCAACUCCUGGCGAGUGGCGAACGGGUGAGUAAUACAUCGGAACGUGUCCUGUCGUGGGGGAUAACCAGUCGAAAGACUGGCUAAUACCGCAUGAGAUCGAGAGAUGAAAGCGGGGGACCCGCAAGGGCCUCGCGCGACUCGAGCGGCCGAUGUCGGAUUAGCUAGUUGGCGGGGUAAUGGCCCACCAAGGCGACGGUCCGUAGCUGGUUUGAGAGAACGACCAGCCACACUGAGACUGAGACACGGCCCAGACUCCUACGGGAGGCAGCAGUGGGGAAUUUUGGACAAUGGGCGCAAGCCUGAUCCAGCCAUGCCGCGUGUGUGAAGAAGGCCUUCGGGUUGUAAAGCACUUUCGGACGGAACGAAAUCGCGCGGGUGAACAAUCCGCGUGGAUGACGGUACCGCAAGAAGAAGCACCGGCUAACUACGUGCCAGCCGCCGCCGUAA